This 855-nucleotide ribosomal RNA is filed under the name Salmonella enterica subsp. enterica serovar Give. RNAcentral describes it as "partial 23S ribosomal RNA". It matches the Rfam family "Bacterial large subunit ribosomal RNA", at positions 331 to 1190 of the family's 2925-position model. Lineage: Bacteria; Pseudomonadati; Pseudomonadota; Gammaproteobacteria; Enterobacterales; Enterobacteriaceae. The record is from RNAcentral.
AGUGGAAGCGUCUGGAAAGGCGCGCGAUACAGGGUGACAGCCCCGUACACAAAAGCGCAUGUGCUGUGAGCUCGAUGAGUAGGGCGGGACACGUGGUAUCCUGUCUGAAUAUGGGGGGACCAUCCUCCAAGGCUAAAUACUCCUGACUGACCGAUAGUGAACCAGUACCGUGAGGGAAAGGCGAAAAGAACCCCGGCGAGGGGAGUGAAAAAGAACCUGAAACCGUGUACGUACAAGCAGUGGGAGCACCCUUUGGGGUGUGACUGCGUACCUUUUGUAUAAUGGGUCAGCGACUUAUAUUCUGUAGCAAGGUUAACCGUAUAGGGGAGCCGGAGGGAAACCGAGUCUUAACCGGGCGUUAAGUUGCAGGGUAUAGACCCGAAACCCGGUGAUCUAGCCAUGGGCAGGUUGAAGGUUGGGUAACACUAACUGGAGGACCGAACCGACUAAUGUUGAAAAAUUAGCGGAUGACCUGUGGCUGGGGGUGAAAGGCCAAUCAAACCGGGAGAUAGCUGGUUCUCCCCGAAAGCUAUUUAGGUAGCGCCUCGUGAAUUCAUCUCCGGGGGUAGAGCACUGUUUCGGCUAGGGGGCCAUCCCGGCUUACCAACCCGAUGCAAACUGCGAAUACCGGAGAAUGUUAUCACGGGAGACACACGGCGGGUGCUAACGUCCGUCGUGAAGAGGGAAACAACCCAGACCGCCAGCUAAGGUCCCAAAGUCAUGGUUAAGUGGGAAACGAUGUGGGAAGGCCCAGACAGCCAGGAUGUUGGCUUAGAAGCAGCCAUCAUUUAAAGAAAGCGUAAUAGCUCACUGGUCGAGUCGGCCUGCGCGGAAGAUGUAACGGGGCUAAACCAU